CAAACUAUUUUGCAACGCGAUCAUGACAGAUGAUGUUUUCUCCAAAUAAAACAAUGAGCUGCAUUGUUUUCUCUAAUGACACAUUAGGUACCUCGGAUUUUAUUGUCUGGUUGAGUUACAGACAUGUUGGGGCAAUGGACAGAAAACAGCUCAGAAUGCUGAAAAUACUAUCUGAUCAUCAGCGUUCUUUUAUUAGGAGCAGUUAUUACUGACGAUGUGAUUUCUAGUUCUCUCUCUAAAAGUUGGGUUAUCCGAGUACUGGAUUGAUUUAACCUGACAUUUGCAGAAUCAGGUAAACACCAGAAGAAAUGUGAUGCUUUAUUCAAAGCAUGAGUAAAGUUUAUAUGUAAAGGGUAUUUGUUAACAGAGUCGGAUCAGAUGGAAGUCAAGCUUGACGUCAGCCCAGCUAUUUCUGGCUUUUCGGUGGUCUACUUAAGUGAUCAAGUGGACUGAACCAAACAUAGAACAUAACUCGGUUUCUAUUUUACCUGACAAAACUUUAACUGAUAAAAACAAAAGCCCUGCAGUUCAUAAGGGAUCUUACAUGUUAAGUUUACCGAUUUAAAUUUGCACAAGGCAUCAGCUUUAAAAAUCUCUGUAAAUGAUAAGCCGUCUGCAGAGAUUUAAGAAGUAGGACGACUGUUCAAACAUGAGAAGUUAGUGCACUUCAUCUAAAAGUAUACUUAACAACUGUUAUAAGUUUAAACAUCAUGAACAUUAUCUCAAAUCUGCACAUUGGAAAUGGUGCAAUUCACAAACCAAUGACCAAUGUUUUUGAUAAAAUCUCCAAAGCAGAUGACGAUAAACUAACGGGACAAGACGAACGCAACAAGAACACAUUUUGGCGAUGCUUUCUAGUUGAUGUGAAAGCUGAAAUUUGGAUUUUUGAAAACCAUGACAUCCAAAUAAUCUGUGUAAAAAAACUAAUACAAGACAAUAAUGUAUUUAAAACACUGUGGCUUGCUUUUAAUUUGGCGUAAUUGACUGAAUCAUUAAGCUGUUUGGUCAACAAUCACAGUCUGUUGACGACAGGUAGAAAGGUAAGCUUUCUGGGCAGAAUCACCCAAAAACUCUACUUGGUUACAUCAAACAGCUGAUUUUUAGAUAUUCAUUGUUUUUCCUUUCCGUAAAACUGCUGUAAAAUGUGGAUAAGAGGCUGUAAUUCUGCAUUAUUGAGCACAAUUUUCUCGCCGUGAAGCAGGAGGAGGUUUUGUGCAGAGUGUUUACUCGAUUCCUGCAACUGAAGUCAGAAUGACCACACAGCCCACCUCUAGAGAGAAACACUGGUUAAAAGUUCGCCUGUGGGGUCACACACACUCCCUCCUGGUGCCUCCCACAAGACCCGCCAUUCAGAGAGCGACACCACAGGAAACACACACUCCAGUCCGGAGGCGAAUCUUCCCACAUAAAGGUCAACACAAUCUACAUCUGGCUCCUCUGCCGACACGCAGCACCACUGAUGAUCGCCGUUGUUUGGGGGGGGGGGAAAUGUGGGGGCGCUAAGCUGCACUAGCAGAAGUUCUGGAUGCAUAUAGGUGUGGGAGAUAUGAGGUAUAUGAUCCUGCGGUGUCCAACCAUCUGGUGAUGGGAUGUGAGACAAUCUGUCCAUUUGGAGAGGCGACAGAGAAGGCGAUAAGCAAAGAAAUCUCACAUACAGAGGAUCUGGAAUCGUGUCAAGAAAACACAACCCUAUGCACGUACACACAAACAGGUUUUAGAUUACUUAUACCAACUGCACCGUCUCUAUGGUAACUAGCAGCUGUCAUGGCAACCAAGUACAAACGACGUUAGAAAAAAACAAACCUUGAACUCUGAUUUUCAGUUUUGAUUUGGAUAACUUGAACAGAAAACUCAGACUCUUUUUUUCUUUUUUCUCCAGACACACUGAAGUAUUUUCUUUCACUUCCUGACGUUAAAGCGGUUUAAUGGAAGAUGCAGGUAACUGAGGACACGGCAGACAGCUGAAGACUUCUUCUCCGAUACCGGGAUGCAGUCGUCUGGAAAACAUUAGGGGAACGGCUCCUCCAGGGCCACAAACUAUCUGCACUUCACCGUGAAAGCAUCUUUCCGAAAUGAAAUCCAUUUACUAAAUCUGGGCAGAAAGAGAGGCAGCAGCGCCAUCGUGUGGAUUACUACGCAAAGCGCAUGCACCCUGCUGCACUGCAGGAUCAUAUAUAUGCAAGAGAAAAGAUAUCUGUAGAUUAAUCUAUGUUCAGUUCUAUAUGCUAUUCUAAUAUAUUUAGGAUUUAUUCAGAGGAAGUUUGAGAUUUUACAGGCUUACAUUAAAAGAUGGAUGGAUUUACUUUG
This is a long non-coding RNA of Poecilia latipinna (sailfin molly), 2307 nucleotides long. RefSeq lists it as uncharacterized. The transcript has 3 exons. The record is from RefSeq and is a predicted model, not a curated record. NCBI's taxonomy places the organism in Eukaryota, Metazoa, Chordata, Actinopteri, Cyprinodontiformes, Poeciliidae.